UAUAACCUACAAGCUUGCCAGAAUAAUACGAACGCUGUUUAAAAUUUAAAGAACUUGGCGGUGUCUAAUCAUCACAGGGGAACCUGUCCCUUAAUUCGAUAAUCCACGAAAACCUUACCUCUUCUAUAAAGCCUGUGUACUGCCGUCGUCAGUCCACCUCUAAAAGAGUGCACAACCGCUAUAACCAAUCUAAUAGUGUACGUCAGGUCAAAGUGCAGCCAAUGAAAAGGGGAAGAUGGGUUACAACCUUAAUACAGAUACAAACUUCUCUACAAACCCGAGAACGAAGGAGGACUUGUCAGUAAUACACAUAACUUUAUGUGUAUGAACAUGAAUCU
RNAcentral lists this ribosomal RNA (338 nucleotides) under Phreodrilidae sp. P9. RNAcentral describes it as "partial small subunit ribosomal RNA". It matches the Rfam family "Bacterial small subunit ribosomal RNA", at positions 875 to 1375 of the family's 1533-position model. The record is from RNAcentral. Lineage: Eukaryota; Metazoa; Annelida; Clitellata; Tubificida; Phreodrilidae.